This 506-nucleotide long non-coding RNA is filed under the name Pan troglodytes (chimpanzee). RNAcentral's name for it is "long non-coding RNA NONPTRT016737". Lineage: Eukaryota; Metazoa; Chordata; Mammalia; Primates; Hominidae. The record is from RNAcentral.
AUUAUCUUUGUAGUUAGCUGCAAAUAUAUUCUGGUUCCCAACCCCUGCACCUGUGAACAACAGAGCAUCACACAGCUGUAUUAAUUGUGUGGCAUGAAAUUCAGAGCUGGCCUUCACAUCUGCAGCUUUCCAUUUACCAGCGUGUAUACACAAGUCAAGAACACUUACCUUCACUGAAUGAGUCUUUAAAAUAAAUAUUAUGGGCUCACUGUUUAUCACAAUUUACAUGAGCCAAAUGUGGCCAAAUUAUAGCUCAGUUGUGUCUGCUGUCAGCAGCUGCAGCCCAGGGAAAGAAAGGAUGGUAGGGAGGCAGGGGGAGCAGCUAAAGAUCCUUCCGCACACAUUAUUUUUGAGCCAGCAGUACGAGAGCUUUUUUUCUUCUUUUUUUUUUCUUUUUGAAUUUAGUUUCUCCAUGCUAUCUAUCAACGUCAGCUGCACCACAAUGCAAAGAGGAAAUACUAACAAAGAAAUAUGAUUGUAGUCUGAACAAGGAUGAAAGAGAAAAA